UACGUAGGGUGCGAGCGUUAAUCGGAAUUACUGGGCGUAAAGCGUGCGCAGGCGGUUUUGUAAGCCAGAUGUGAAAGCCCCGGGCUUAACCUGGGAAUGGCAUUUGGGACUGCAAGGCUGGAGUGUGGCAGAGGAGACUGAAAUUCCUGGUGUAGCAGUGAAAUGCGUAGAUAUGCGGAGGAACACCGAUGGCGAAGGCAAUCCCCUGGGCCUGCACUGACGCUCAUGCACGAAAGCGUGGGGAGCAAACAGG
RNAcentral lists this ribosomal RNA (253 nucleotides) under uncultured bacterium. RNAcentral's name for it is "partial 16S ribosomal RNA". It matches the Rfam family "Bacterial small subunit ribosomal RNA", at positions 524 to 776 of the family's 1533-position model. The record is from RNAcentral.